AUUGGGGAUCGCCGACUGCUUUUAUGACAUUUGGUGGCCUUUAGUCCUAUGGGAGCAGAUAGCAGCAGUUCGAGAGCGAGGUCGAAGUCGCAAUCAAGAUCGAGGGAAAAGGAACUAUUGAUCGAUAGAUUGGGAGAGGGCGGUGAUAUGAACGGUGGGGAGGCGGGAGGAGGAGGGAAGGAGAUGGAGGAGGACAGGAAGGAGGUCAGGGGAGCGGCGGCAGAUGAUGAGAUGGUGAAGGAGGAGGAGGGAAGGGCGAAGGAGAAGUCGGUGCUGAUGUGGGGCUACCUUCCGGGAGUGUCGCCGCAUAGAUCGCCGCUUCUUUACCCUGUUGCCGUCCGAAUGCCGGAUUCGGCCGCCAGAGACCGGUGGAUGGAUGUCAGCGGCGGCGGAUGCGGUUUCGCCAUGGCCAUUUCUGAGUCAGGCAAGCUCUUUACAUGGGGUUCAACAGAUGACAUGGGCCAAAGCUAUGUUACUUCAGGAAAACAUGAGGAGACACCGGAGGUAUUUCACCUUCCAACUGAGGUGCCCAUUGUCAAGGCAGCUGCAGGAUGGGCUCACUGUGUAUCAGUCACAGGCCAGCUAAUGGAGAAGUCUAUACAUGGGGAUGGAAAGAGUGUGUGCCAACUGGGAGGAUUGUCAAAGAACAGUCUUACUCUGGAGGAACCUCAGAAAAAGAAGAAAGGCAUAGUGGAUCAUUGAGUGAUCAAGUGAGCCCAAGGUUGCAGGGCUCAAGAAUUGGUGGAGUUGUUUCAGAAUUUGAUACUGGAUGUGGUGAGAAGAAUAGUAAGCGGAGAAGGCUAUCUUCAGCUAAAGUGGAACCAGAAAACAAAUCAUCUAGUGAAGAAACUCUUUCAGCUCUUCCAUGUCUUGUAACUCUUGACACAGGAGUCCGUAUCGCGAGUGUGGCUGCUGGUGGACGCCAUACACUGGCAUUGUCUGAUGUAGGCCAGGUCUGGGGUUGGGGAUAUGGAGGGGAAGGGCAACUUGGUUUAGGAUCUCGUAUCCGGAAUGUGUCUUCUCCUCAUCCGAUACCUUGUGUAGAGUCAGCUUCUUUUAGUAGAGACCAACCAUCAGCAGCUACCCAAGGAAAACAAAGUCUAGAUGGACAGGCUUAUAAAUGCAUGGGAAGCUGUGUAAAGGCCAUUGCUUGUGGAGGUCGUCACAGUGCUGCAGUUACAGAUACAGGAGCUCUACUUACUUUUGGGUGGGGACUCUAUGGACAGGUUAGCCUCCUCUUUAUUCCCUUUUCUGGUAAUUUGAUAAUUUAUUUGAUGACAUUACAUUUUUCUGCAUGAUUAUUAAUUUUUCCUGGAACUCUCUCAGCAAUAGAUUGUAGUUAUAAUAACAUCUGUAUAUCCAUUGUGGAUCCAUGUUAUUUACCCAUGGCCAUGUCCAUCUGCAGCAGCAGUUGAUUUCUCUUUAAAACUUCUCUUCCAUGCUUGGUUUUAGAUUGUACUAAUACUGAAAACUUGAGUUAAAAGGUUUCAUGAAAGUCAAGAUUUGGUUUUCUCAUUCAUUUCGGAAAUGGUAAAGCGAUGGAUCAUGCUACCUUUUAAUUUUAUAAUGAGUCAGCAAAGGUAUUCAAAGACAUGGAAGGAAUUGCUGGUUUGGAAUAUAUUACAUUCUAAUUCGGGUACCUUGCUCUUCAAUCUGAAUUAUUUUUGUAUGAACUUGUUCUCAAGUAUUAACCGUUCUCCAGGAUUAACAUGUAGGCAUUGUAGAAAAGAUGGAGAAAAAGCAAACUGUAAUGUCGAAGAUGAGAUCCACUGUAACAUGGGAAAUUGCCUUUUUUUAAUCUCUCGACUGUGGAUUUCCUUUGCAGCAUAUAAGGAAAGAAUAAACUGAUGCUUUUGUUUUUUUCUUCCUUUUCCUUCUUAUAUGCCAUUUCUAAUCAGUGUGGACAAGGAAGUACGAAUGACCAGCUGAGCCCAAAAUGUGUAUCAUCUCUAUUGGGUGUCAAGAUACAUGAAGUUGCUGCUGGCCUGUGGCAUACCAUCUGCACUUCUGUUGAUGGUGGUGUGUUUUCCUUUGGUGGGAAUCAGUUUGGGCAGCUAGGAACUGGUUCUGAUCAAGCUGAGACUCUUCCCAAGCUAUUGGAUGCUCCAUGUCUGGAAAACAAGAGUGCUAAACGGGUCUCUUGUGGAGCACGUCAUACUGCCGUGAUGACAGGAGAUGGACAAGUAUUUUGCUGGGGAUGGAACAAAUAUGGUCAGCUUGGUUUAGGAGACGCAACUGACAGAAACAUUCCCUCUUUGGUUCCGAUCAACAACUAUCAACCUAAAAAUGUAUCUUGCGGUUGGUGGCAUACAUUGGUUCUAUCGGAAUCUCCAACGUGAAGCUCUACUGUUCCAAAAACACUUAUCACAAUUUUGUAAGGUUCAUUAGGUUUUCAACUUAUUAUAUGUACAAAUAUGUACAUACCAGUCGACGGCAGCCACUGUUCGGCAGCCACUGUGUCACAUAUUUAGGCAUACGGUUGGUAGCAUGUAAGCAGCAAAACCAGUCAUUUAGCUUUCUGCCUCUUACUAAACUAUGUUGUACAGUAAUAAUGGUUUGAUCAAAGUUGCUGUUAAUAGAUGCCGUCAUGACAUUUGGCCCAAAUUGUGGCUUUUCCUAUUUUCUUACCACGGAAAAGCCAUAUGUUUUCUGACAUUAUUAACUUCAUAUCUGUAAUGGUUUUUGGUCAUAAUUGCUGCUUUGUACCUUCUUUAAA
Molecule: non-coding RNA, 2716 nt
Organism: Musa acuminata subsp. malaccensis (wild Malaysian banana)
Lineage: Eukaryota; Viridiplantae; Streptophyta; Magnoliopsida; Zingiberales; Musaceae
Source: RefSeq, a predicted model, not a curated record